Molecule: ribosomal RNA, 254 nt
Filed under: uncultured bacterium
Lineage: Bacteria
Description: partial 16S ribosomal RNA
Rfam family: Bacterial small subunit ribosomal RNA
Source: RNAcentral
GACGAACCGUGCGAACGUUAAUCGGAUUCAUUGGGCUUAAAGGGCGCGUAGGCGGCGGCGUAAGUUCGUGGUGAAAUCCCAUCGGCUCAACCGUGGAAUCGCUUCGAAUACUGCGUCGCUCGAGGGAGAUAGGGGACCGCAGAACUGCCGGUGGAGCGGUGAAAUGUGUUGAUAUCGGCGGGAAUGCCAGUGCCGAAAGGGGCGGUCUGGACCUCUUCUGACGCUGAGGCGCGAAAGCUAGGGGAGCGAACGGG